UGUCCAGACUCCUACGGGAGGCAGCAGUGGGGAAUAUUGGGCAAUGGGCGCAAGCCUGACCCAGCAACGCCGCGUGAAGGAAGAAGGCUUUCGGGUUGUAAACUUCUUUUCUUGGGGACGAAGAAAGUGGCGGUACCCAAGGAAUAAGCCACGGCUAACUACGUGCCAGCAGCCGCGGUAAUACGUAGGGGGCAAGCGUUAUCCGGAUUUAUUGGGCGUAAAGGGCGUGUAGGCGGGAAUGCAAGUCAGAUGUGAAAACUAUGGGCUCAACCCAUAGCCUGCAUUUGAAACUGUGCUUCUUGAGUACUGGAGAGGCAGACGGAAUUCCUAGUGUAGCGGUGAAAUGCGUAGAUAUUAGGAGGAACACCAGUGGCGAAGGCGGUCUGCUGGACAGCAACUGACGCUGAGGCGCGAAAGCGUGGGGAGCAAACAGGAUUAGAUACCCGGGUA
RNAcentral lists this ribosomal RNA (450 nucleotides) under uncultured bacterium. RNAcentral's name for it is "bacterial SSU rRNA". It matches the Rfam family "Bacterial small subunit ribosomal RNA", at positions 328 to 792 of the family's 1533-position model. The record is from RNAcentral.